This 468-nucleotide ribosomal RNA is filed under the name uncultured bacterium. RNAcentral describes it as "partial 16S ribosomal RNA". It matches the Rfam family "Bacterial small subunit ribosomal RNA", at positions 28 to 507 of the family's 1533-position model. The record is from RNAcentral.
GACGAACGCUGGCGGCGUGCUUAACACAUGCAAGUCGAACGGAAAGGCCCUGCUUUUGUGGGGUGCUCGAGUGGCGAACGGGUGAGUAACACGUGAGUAACCUGCCCUUGACUUUGGGAUAACUUCAGGAAACUGGGGCUAAUACCGGAUAGGAGCUCCUGCUGCAUGGUGGGGGUUGGAAAGUUUCGGCGGUUGGGGAUGGACUCGCGGCUUAUCAGCUUGUUGGUGGGGUAGUGGCUUACCAAGGCUUUGACGGGUAGCCGGCCUGAGAGGGUGACCGGCCACAUUGGGACUGAGAUACGGCCCAGACGCCUACGGGAGGCAGCAGGGGGGAAUAUUGCACAAUGGGCGGAAGCCUGAUGCAGCAACGCCGCGUGCGGGAUGACGGCCUUCGGGGUGUAAACCGCUUUCGCCUGUGACGAAGCGUGAGUGACGGUAAUGGGUAAAGAAGCACCGGCUAACUACGUG